UACGUAGGGGGCAAGCGUUAUCCGGAUUUACUGGGUGUAAAGGGAGCGUAGACGGAUGGACAAGUCUGAUGUGAAAGGCUGGGGCUCAACCCCGGGACUGCAUUGAAAACUGCCCGUCUUGAGUGCCGGAGAGGUAAGCGGAAUUCCUAGUGUAGCGGUGAAAUGCGUAGAUAUUAGGAGGAACACCAGUGGCGAAGGCGGCUUACUGGACGGUAACUGACGUUGAGGCUCGAAAGCGUGGGGAGCAAACAGG
RNAcentral lists this ribosomal RNA (253 nucleotides) under Blautia luti. RNAcentral describes it as "partial 16S ribosomal RNA". It matches the Rfam family "Bacterial small subunit ribosomal RNA", at positions 524 to 776 of the family's 1533-position model. Lineage: Bacteria; Bacillati; Bacillota; Clostridia; Lachnospirales; Lachnospiraceae. The record is from RNAcentral.